Molecule: unclassified non-coding RNA, 1777 nt
Filed under: Zea mays
Lineage: Eukaryota; Viridiplantae; Streptophyta; Magnoliopsida; Poales; Poaceae
Description: misc RNA Zm00001eb216370
Source: RNAcentral
AUCAGACAACUGCAUUGGAUUGCGCGAACGCGGCGAGGAGACACGGGAUACACCGCCGGAGCCACACCACUCCGGCCACCACCCACCAAUACUAACGUAGAGACUACACAGACACCAACACACCGACGAAGUUGCCUCCAUUCAUAUUCCUGCCCCCCUACCCUCCCCGGAUUAGACAGCAACACACGAACUGAGACGAGACCCACAUCAGACAGACAAGAGCUGAAACAGGGGCAGAAUGUUAGCUUGCGCCAGCUCGCCGCGGCGGGUGAGAGCCCCUCGCGUCACACGAAUCCGACCUCGGCGAACUGCGGGCGCGCUGCCUUGGCCGACGCCGGCGCGCCGGGGCGCGGGCGCGGGGCCAUCCCCUCCGGGAGCGGGUUCUUGCGCGGCCGGCCGCGCGGGCGCGGGAUCUUGGGCGGCGCGUGCGGGUCACGCGGCUUGGGAGGGCGGCCGCGCCGUCGCGGCGCGGCGGCGGGGGACGCAGCGGCUCCGGGGACGCCGAUGGGGAAGCCAGCGGGCCGCGGCUUCGGGGGCCUCCCACGCCCGCGCUUGGCGGGCGGCUGCGGCACAGGCACGGGCACGAGCAGAGGCUCCGGCGCCUCCUCUUCCUCGUCCACCUCGUCGGCGCAGUCGUCGUCGUCGUCGUCGUCUUCGCCGUCGUCAGCCGGUGACUCCGGCGCCGGCUGCGCCGGCGGCGGGGGCAGCGCGUACUUCCCCCCCGCGACGGCGACGAGCUCCCCUGCGGCGGACAUGCGCGAGAGGUGGGCGGCGACGAGCGCCGGGUGCGAGGCCGGCAGGUCGCCGCGGGCCUGCGCCUCGAUGCGGCGCGCGAUGGCGGCCUGGCUGGAGCCGUUCUCCUCGGCGAGGGCUGCGAUCGCGGCGACGAUCAUCUGCAGCAGCCAGGGCAGGCGCACGGGUCAGUCGAUUCCGCAGAUCGGCGCAGAUCUGGCGGAAAGGAGUAGCGGAGAGGAGUCGAAAGAGGUAGGGUUGGAACGGAGGGAGGGAGGCUUGCCUCGGGGUAGGAAGGGGGCACGAGGUCGGAGGAGCCCGGGGGCGAGCCGUCGCCACUGGGAGUGGGAGUGGUCAUGCCUGCGCUGGCGCUGGCCGCCUCGGCUGCUGGCUGUCGCUUCCUCUCCCGCUCGGCGUGUCUGGGUGCGUGGGGAGCGGGAAUUGGGGGCGCAGCGCACGGGAGAGGGGGGAGGGGCCGCGACGACGCGGAUCUGAGACUGGGAAGGGCGCUGCCGCUGAGGCGGGCCUCAAUGGAAUGCAAGUACAGUUUCGACAAGGAAUCUGUCGGAUGUUCCGCGCGUGGUACCGGGUCCGGGGGUGACCGUGACCCGCGGGCGCUCUCGCUCGCGCUCCAACGGGUGGGUUCGGAUCGGCUCGGCUCACCGUUCGGCGCUGCUGCUGGCGCGGCGCCCGCUGACUGCUGUCGACCGUGGUUGUUGACACGUCCCCCCCGGCCCCGGCCGGCCAAACUAGGACACUGGAGCGCCGUGGAAAAAUGGUACGCAGUAGGAUGCAAUGCAAAGGAGAUAGGGGAUUCUAAUUUCUUCACUCGUGGAAACCGGUGGAGAAAUAAACGCUAGCAAAACACUCGACGGCAAACCGUAGGAAUGUCCGUUGACUCUAAUUUAUAAACGAGUGAAGAAGGCGUGAAGAAAGUGGUGGUGGCCCACGUGACUAUCUCGCAGUAGAGGACACGUAGGGCUCCUUUGGCAGCUAGGGAGGAUAACCCAGGGGAGUGAGCACCUAGGGGCCAUAAUCCCUGUUA